Small nuclear RNA from Otolemur garnettii (small-eared galago), 107 nucleotides. The record is from Ensembl. NCBI's taxonomy places the organism in Eukaryota, Metazoa, Chordata, Mammalia, Primates, Galagidae.
GUGCUUGCUUUGGAAGCACAUAUACUAAACUUGGAUUGAUACAGAGAAGAUUAGGAUGGCCCCUGUGAAAAGAUGACAUGCACAUUUGUGAAGUGUUCCAUAUUUUA